CUAAAGAAGCUUCUUCUUUAACAAUGAAGUUCGGCUUAAUAUCUGCAGGAAACAUUGAAACACAUUAUGAACAUUAGUAAGUAUUUUUAGCUCAGCCUGAACUGAGACUCAUUUUUAUGAAACAUGCCUGUGCAAAUUCUGAGUUAUCCAAGGUAAUCACAACAGCAACCAGACUUUCAUUCAGUUCUUUCAGAAAGAGCUGAAUGAAUUCCGGUUGCCUUCAAUUUAAACCUGUUUAACAUGUUGUUGAGGAUAUAUUAAGGUAAUUUAGUUAGAUCCACUUUUUAUUUCAAUGCUACUUUUUCUUUUUAUUUAUUUUGCAUUGCUGUUUCUUAUCUCUUGUUUGUUUACAGUUCCUUGCUAAAGUAUUCAUCCACUUGGAAUUCAUCAUGUUCUGUUGCCCCAAAACCUGCCAAGUGAAAUGGACUUUUUUGGCCUAGUGGUUAGAGCAUUAUGCUUGUGUCCCAGAGGUUCUGGGUUCAACUCCCACAAACUGCGACUCUGGGUCCCUGAGCAAGACCCUCAACCCAAGAUUGCUCUCCAGACACCGCACAAUGGCAGCCCACUGCUCCCCAAGGGGAUGGGUUAAAUGCAGAGAACAAAUUUUAUUGGAAUUACAACACAACUGUGGGCUGCUGAGGGUACCCAGUCUGAGCCAGGACCGAGCAGUAAUCAGCAGGACCAUGGAGCAAGUGUCGAGACUGGUCUAGACUUCCCGCUGCUCAUCCCAGCCCAGCCCUGGAGGUGAUGGAGUCAAGCCAAAUAACAUACAGUGGCAGUGUGGCACAAUGGUCUUACUGACUGGGAGGUGGAUGCAAGAAUCACAUAAUGGCUAAAAAACUUUCCAGACCACAACAGUGGGAGAAACAACAUGAAGGAGAGAUUGAAGGAUCAGCAAAAUGGAAAAAAA
Molecule: long non-coding RNA, 910 nt
Organism: Fundulus heteroclitus (mummichog)
Lineage: Eukaryota; Metazoa; Chordata; Actinopteri; Cyprinodontiformes; Fundulidae
Exons: 3
Source: RefSeq, a predicted model, not a curated record